RNAcentral lists this ribosomal RNA (277 nucleotides) under uncultured prokaryote. RNAcentral's name for it is "partial 16S ribosomal RNA". It matches the Rfam family "Bacterial small subunit ribosomal RNA", at positions 524 to 800 of the family's 1533-position model. The record is from RNAcentral.
CACGGGGGCUGCGAGCGUUGUCCGGAAUUACUAGGCGUAAAGGGCAGGCAGGCGGAUCCAUAAGUUUAUCGUUUAAGGCGUCGGCUUAACCGGCGUAGGGCGGUAGAUACUGUGGAUCUGGAAUGCGGUUGGGGAAGACAGAAUUCCUGGUGUAGCGGUGGAAUGCGCAGAGAUCAGGAGGAAUACCGAAGGCGAAGGCAGUCUUCCAAGCCGUUAUUGACGCUCAACUGCGAAGGUGUGGGUAUCAAACAGGAUUAGAUACCCGUGUAGUCCCUGA